CUCUUCACGCUUACCACACACACACAAACACACACAUGCACCAGGAGGCCUUAUUAAUUAUUUGUAGCCACUUGACUUCAUAUUGUGCUUCCAGUGGCUUGGUCAAAGAUUAUAAUUACCACUUCCCUGUUUGUAUCAUUUUCCAUCUCCUGUGCUUUUAGUGCAGUAUUACUUCUCUUGUCCCUCUCCCUCACUCUCUUCCUCCCUCUCUCCCGUAUACACAAGACCAAAAGUGCAGGCACAUCAUUUAUUGAUAAGACAAAAAGAAUGUAAUGAAAUUAUCAAUGUUCUUGAAUUAAUUAUGAACAUGAUUAAGAAAGCUAAAAUCUCAGGAGCCAGUCUCUCAUUACCCAUUCACUCUUAGGGAUUGCUUUCAUUCAGGGAAGGAGAGGCGAAAAAGCCUUCCAGCAGAGCCCACUCCGGCUCAGCUCUUCUCCCUGUGUGCCUGUCCCCUUGUCUCUGCUGCCGGGCCAAUUGACCAAGCCUCCGACAGACCGGACGGCCGGCCGCCAGCCCGACCGCCACCUGGACGGCUUUCUUGCACUCAUGCCUGUUAUGGUGAUGUGGCCAAGCCCAGCUAGCUGCUUCGCGGCCUCUGACGUUUGCAUGGAAAAGAGAGGAUGUGCUCAACCUUCCUGUUCUACACCUGAGUUCAAGCUCUGAGGUCUUGACCCUCUUAAAAAAGAAACACUCGAGGGUUCAGAUAGCCAACAGACUGGAUUUAGUCAAGACCUGAGUCAGUCAGGGCGGGAAUCUCUCUCUCUUCACUUAAGAUAAACAGACAGGAUGACGCAAUCUUCCGUGAUCCAGGAACCAACCUCAACCUACGAAAACAGACUCACAAAAGGCCUCGGCUUCAAGAAUGGACAAAGCCAGGAUACGACACGCAAAGUUUGGCUUCAGAUGAGCCCUGGCAGCUGCUACGAACACAGCCAAGAACAUGGUAACCUAUUCACCCACAUACCUAAGAUUCUGAUCUGAAAACACAAUAUUGAAGCUUUUAUUUAAUAAAAGAAUGGAUCCUUUAGACAGCGUGAGUAAAGAUAAUGCACAGAUAAGUAUCAGACUCAAAUAUCACCACCAAAGAAUGAUCAGAAAACAUUUAGCGCAUGACUUGAAAUAAUACAACAUCACCAACAGAAACCAAACAACUUAAGGUUGGAUAAAUGACACACUUACAUGAACGCUCUGACUGGGAUGUAAAAGAAUAAUUUUGUCGCCGCUAGAAAACAUAUGAAGAAAUGCCAGUUUUGAAAAAUGUCAUCUUUAAAGGGGAAAUCUAAAUGUCAGAGAGACAGAUACUUUACACAUAGAGAGCGCUGCCUUCUGGGCGUAACACAGAAAGGCGUGAGAAUAAUAUUUUUUUCCCAGUUGAAAUGAAUUGCAAUUACCCGUCAUCAAGCAUAGAAAGCAGCACACUUCACAUCCACAGUCACAUAGCCUGGAGAGGAGCGUGGUCACUGUUUGCAACAUUAGUCAGGAAAUCAGAGGAGGAAAGCACAACAAAAGAAAGAAAUGUGUUUUUGUUAUGCCACAGGAAAAAAUAGUGACUCACUGUUCCAAUGUGUGAUAUGUUACUAAGAAAUAUAAUGAAUUAAUAUCAGAAACAGACAGAAAAUUAACCUGCCUCCAUUUUGAACAAAAAAUUCAUGGUUCCAGCUUUUCAAAUUAAAGCAUUUAAUGCAUUUUCUUAUGUUACAUCAUAGUAAACAUUUUUGGACUGUUGGCAUUAAAAAACCUUGUUGCAGCAAUGUUCAGAUAUUACAUAGAAUAUUAAAAGAUUAAUGCGACUUCACUCAGUGCAGCGAACUGUCAGCAAUCAUGGCCUUUCUUAUGCAUUUGCAGAAAGAAAAACAUCUAAAAUGUCGUCAUUUUCUUUGCAAGUGUUGCCAUUUUAUGUCAUUGCAACACUGCUUUACUACUCUGUCACGCAUUUCCAUGUAAGGGUGCCAACAGGAGAAGUCAUAGUAGUUGAAAAAUGCAUAAAUGAACACCUACAUCUGCUUACAACUGCAUUAUGGUGUUUAUAAACUGUUUAUUAACUACUGCGUGUGAAAGGGAGUGUGUGUGCUAAAGGUAAGUGUUAAUAUAAAACACAUUACCCUCAAACCUGGAACCCAGUUUCCCUAACUCAUUCAUCAGAGCUCACUGUGCCGCUGUUUUACAGUAUGUCAUUUUCUUGACUUAACUUGUGCGUAAAAGCUAUUGCGUGUGAGUGUGUGUGAUUGCAUGCGUGUACUCUGUUUAUCUGUGUGUGGAUGAGCAUUUGGCUCAGCGAUUGGCAUGGGGUCAUAGCUCUUACCCAGAAGACAGCAGAGAUAAAGCAAGUGGAGCAGCAAGCCCUGUUUGGGUUUAAAUUUUGCAAGCAGGCGAAUGUCAAUCUCAUGAAUAAGCAAAGCAGGGAAUAAAGCAUUUCUUGGUCCUCAGUUUGUUUUGAAGUUUGUCCGCGUGGAAAACGUCUGUGCUUCUCAGCUGGGAAUUUCAGCAGAGGCCUGAGUGGGUGAUUCAAUACUCGUUUCAAUCAUCGGUGCAGGUAAGUUACGGAAUAGGAGGCAAAAACAAAAGAGGAGACGAGGAGGAAUGAGCAAACUGAGGUGCAAGUACAGAUGAAGGCAGAGGAGGAGUAGAGGUUAAGAUGGAGAUUGGGGAGAUGAAGUCAGGGAAAAGGAGGUAGGAGAGACAAGUCUGCUCUCUGUUCUUGCUUUCCCGGGUCGUGUGUUUUUAUAUUAAUGGCUGAGGUCGUGUGUCAGGUCAGGGAGAGCUAAUCUUAACUCCCUGGCUGGAGGGCACCUUCAACCCACGGGGCAUUUAGGUACCUCGUCAACCCAACAGAGAACCACCGGGCUCUUCUCUUAGCAUGCAAAUGAGACAGGAACAAAUGUCCCAUCACUUCUGGGGCUUCAUGUCCCAAAGUGCUUAACACUCUUCCUGUCAACCCCCCCGCUCACUCCAGCUGCUUCAAAAACCCCUCGUGCACCUCCCUCACUCCUUUUUCCCCUCCCUCUUAUGUUCUUUAAAUGAGCUUUCCAACUCCACUUCUUUCUCGCAAUUCAAUUUUACAAGGCCAUUAUCCUGGGUGUAAUGUGGAGGUUAAAUAUAUCGGGGCAGACAUUAUGUGAAAAUAAUUAGUGCUAAUGAAUAAUGCACUCAUUCAGCUGAUGAAGGAUGGUUGUCAGGGUAAUGGAGUGCAAGGGAGGGGCCCCUCUGACAAAUGAAAUUAAAAUAUUUAAACACUGUUUUACGAUAUUACCAGGCCCUCACGCUCUUUUCCUGUUACCUGCUCGCUAUACGGAGCGGGCUGUCCUCUUCCCUGACAUGAUACUUGUGCCAUUACUCAUGCGCAACAUCUGUCUCGCCAAAGACAGAACUCAGACACGAGGAGGAAGCGUCCCUGCCCAGCACUUUUACAGUACCUCACACCUCAGCUAAUCAUCCCAGCCCUGAUAAUCACUCCGACGCCAAUCUUAUUGACAGCUGCUGUCCCUCUGCCGGAAUAUAGUUGGUUCCCUUUAUUUAUUGCCCCCUACACUCAUUCAGCCUCUUACGAUCUCAUUCUGCGCCCAUCAUGUGACAAUGAAGGAUGCGGGUUUUAAAUCGCUCAGUUUACAGCACCCUCCCAGCCAAUUGGCCUUCUCCAAUCAAUAAUAGUGGACCAAGCUCUCUGUGGCUGAUAAAUGGUAAAGCAUCAACACCAUUUCAUUAGACAUGAUGGUUGCAGGAAAGUGCCUUUGACGGGAGACAGAAAUCGCAUGAACUAAUGAUACAUGUUGCUCAGUGCUUCAAAAGUCUGACCCUUCGGAUGGAUCAGUUCACCCAAUUUAGUUAAAAGCUUCUCCUCCCUUUGACAUUGGCUAUUGUAGUGCUGUGGUUUGUAAAAUAGCAGAAGUGAAUGGAAUUUCAUUUAUGCUGCUCACAACACACACAAAAAAAAUGUUUUUAAACAGGAGUACAACCCUCUUGUAGCUCUGUGAGGCUGCACUUACACUGAUAAUACUAAGAUGCUAAACAGCUAUUGCCUGCUACACAACUGCCAAUAAUCGCUAAACUCAAAGCAAAUAUUAGGUUUUAAACCAAAUUAACACAAGAAUUGAAACCAAAGCUAAAUAUAUUAGAGCUCAUCCUCAGGGGAACAUGAAGGUUUAGUUGAGAAAUUUUAUACAAAUCCAUAAAAAGCAACAUUAUUGGUGGUGAGAAAGAGAAAGUAGGAGGAGAGUUCAUCAAAGCCAACAUGGCCAUAAAGUAAUAGUAUAAAAAAAAUUGCUAAGAUGCUGGUGCUAAACAAGUAUUAUGCUUACCAUCUUAAUUUGACACCUUUGUAUCCUAAACAAUUGCUAUAAAGCUCUAGACACAUAGUAUACAUUAGCGUUUUAAACCAAAAUAACACAAGAAUUGAAUUUUUGACAUCAAGAUGGGAGUAAAUUACAUUUUUCAAAGUACUAACCAAAGGUAUUAGGGCUCAACCUCAGGAGAACAGGAAUGUUUACAGAGCGAUCCAACAUAUAAUUGUGGAGAGAUUUUACACAAAUCCAUAAAUGGCAACUUCAUGGUGGAAUAAAACUGAAAGUCAGAGGAGGAUUUAUCCUCUGGGCACCAUGAAUGUAUAAACAGUCUGUCCAGCAGCUGUUGAGACAUUUCAAUGUGGACCACAAAACAGUGGACAGCAAAGUCUAGGGCAUAUCUGUGAAAUUGUCCUGGAAAGAGCUUAAUUUUUUCAAAUAUAUUGUUUUAACGGUCUGAGUACCACAUAAAAAAGAGAAGGAAGAAACCUAGAUAACUCCUUGCCAAUUACAACCCAAAUUGUUGCAUAUCUAGAUGUCACUUAAGGCAACAAGUUUAUUUAUUUACUUUUUUUACAAUUUUGGCAAAAAGGGAAGGCACAGGGCCCAGAGUAGCAGAUGUUUCACUACGACAUAUCCAAAGGGAGAUAUUAACAGUGUUUCCCUACAAAAUGUCAGACUGGAUCUCAGAUCGUUACAAAUCAUGGAGGUCUUUAAGUCGGAGUUAUGUUCAGUUUUCACAGGACAAUGGGCAGCUUUUAUUAAAAAAAACAAAGGCUAUAAGCACUGAAGUGUGCUGCUCCUUCCCUGGGGCUUAGCACAGACAACUAGCACGCCGAACCCGGCCACAUCUGACAACUUUCUUUUAUUAAGCUCAUAUUUUGCAGAUUGCCAACACAUACAUUUGACUUGCAAAACAGACCUAAUUAUGGGACCCGUAGUAUGGAAGCCACACAUCAAACAGUAAGUUACAGUAAAAGCCUAUGAUCCCAGUUGCAUUCUCUCCUGUUUUUUUUCCUGUCCUCUGUUGCCUCAGCACACCAGAAACACUGAUUAUAACAGGGACAUUAAAAGGGAAUUACAGCGAAACAAUUUACACUUAAUGUAGCAGUCAUAUGAACAGGGAAGAACGAUGGACAAAGAUAUGGCUGUAUUAAUAAUACAUGCUUUAAUUAAGCAGCUGGGAAUGCAUAGGGCCAGAUCAAGGCACGGGGGGAAAGACAGACAAUGAAAGAAGAGUGGCAGAGAGUAGGGGGAAAGACAGCUGAAGAAAAAGAACUGAAAAGGAGAGGCUGAAUGACAUGGAAAGUGUAAAACAGAGCAGAGGAUAGAAAGCAGAGGAGGGAGGAGGGCUGGAACAUGCUGCUGUGAGUUUUCUGCACACCGUGAUUCAUGGGCAGUAAAUAUGCAAAGCCUGAUGGCCAUAAGGCAAUCAGAGGAGCGCCACUCAUCUACAUGUUGCACAGUGGGCUAUAAUCCAUCUGAGGGGCAAGGAAUAAUGAUACCAGGAAGCAGGAAUAAGAGCACGGUCUGUUUAUUACCUCAGACAGAUCCAUAAUGCAUACAGAUGUGAGGGAGGCACGCCGCAGCCUCUGGCCAGUGAACUCUAUUGAAAAGUAUAGACGGUAAUAUUGUUUUUAGUGUAAUGAAAGACAAUCUGAUUUAAGCACCUAUUAAGGCAAAUCAGUCUGCUGUCAUAUAAAGUUUUAAAACAAGCGCUCGAGCUAUAGUGAUCGCUGACAGGCUGGAGAGGAGCUGAGACGAAUACAGAGGGAAAAAGUAAGAGGCAGUCUGGCAGCUCAAAGGCAACGGCAAGGUCACCAAUAAAUAAUAUGGAUAUUACAAUAUGAAUGUACAGCCAUGCAAAGUGAAAUAGAAGGUUACAGUCUGCUCCAAAUAUGCACAUUUUAAGACCUUGCUCAUCAUUAAGACCAUGCCUGUACAGAUAAAAAGCAACCACUGGCAAUAAAACUGAAAUUUCA
Acanthochromis polyacanthus (spiny chromis) is the source of this 6259-nucleotide long non-coding RNA. RefSeq lists it as uncharacterized. The record is from RefSeq and is a predicted model, not a curated record. The transcript has 5 exons. NCBI's taxonomy places the organism in Eukaryota, Metazoa, Chordata, Actinopteri, Pomacentridae.